ACGGUGAAAGAGAGCUUGCUCUCUGGAUCAGUGGCGAACGGGUGAGUAACACGUGAGCAAUCUGCCCCUGACUCUGGGAUAACAGUUGGAAACAGCUGCUAAUACCGGAUACGAGACGUGAAGGCAUCUUCAACGUCUGGAAAGAACUUCGGUCAGGGAUGAGCUCGCGGCCUAUCAGCUUGUUGGUGAGGUAAUGGCUCACCAAGGCGUCGACGGGUAGCCGGCCUGAGAGGGUGACCGGCCACACUGGGACUGAGACACGGCCCAGACUCCUACGGGAGGCAGCAGUGGGGAAUAUUGCACAAUGGGCGCAAGCCUGAUGCAGCAACGCCGCGUGAGGGACGACGGCCUUCGGGUUGUAAACCUCUUUUAGCAGGGAAGAAGCGAAAGUGACGGUACCUGCAGAAAAAGCACCGGCUAACUACGUGCCAGCAGCCGCGGUAAUACGUAGGGUGCAAGCGUUA
RNAcentral lists this ribosomal RNA (464 nucleotides) under Microbacterium sp. A9 13-28. RNAcentral's name for it is "bacterial SSU rRNA". It matches the Rfam family "Bacterial small subunit ribosomal RNA", at positions 66 to 543 of the family's 1533-position model. Lineage: Bacteria; Bacillati; Actinomycetota; Actinomycetes; Micrococcales; Microbacteriaceae. The record is from RNAcentral.